GUAAGGAACAAGUCGCUCGCUCCAGUGAUUAUCUCGAUGGGCAAUUGACCUUUCGCGAGCGUCUGCUCGUGCGUCAUCACUUGAUGUUUUGCCCGAACUGCCGACGCUUUAUCCGUCAGAUGCGCCUGAUGCAGGCGACGCUGAAGAUCCUGCCGCAGGAGCCGGUAAAGGAUGUCGAUGCGCUGGCUGAACGAUUGGCAGCCGAACGGCUGAAAGAUUUGUAGGAGCGAGCAAGCCCGCUCCUACA
Molecule: small RNA, 247 nt
Filed under: Pseudomonas synxantha
Lineage: Bacteria; Pseudomonadati; Pseudomonadota; Gammaproteobacteria; Pseudomonadales; Pseudomonadaceae
Description: Pseudomonas sRNA P17
Rfam family: Pseudomonas sRNA P17 (bases 1-211)
Source: RNAcentral